GUUUUCCUGACUUACAACACAAUUCAUUUCCCUCUAUGCUGUACUGCUCUCAUGUCUCUCUUCCGCUGCCUUUGGCAAGAGUGGAAAAAUCUAGUUACAAGGAAGAGCUUGCUUUGUCUAGAGAAGAAUAGCCAUGGGAUUAGGCUCUUCUUAGAACAGAUUUGUAGGAAGAGUCAUGAGGCAAAUGCCUUUGGGGAGAAUGUAAGGAACAAUCUACCACAUGGACGGUGCUGUGGAGAGUUGGACCUGGAAAGACACAGGGAGAUGCGGAGACCUGACUGUUUUCUUUUCCUCCUUUGGAAAUGGUAUGUGGCUGUUGAGUUUUAAAUGGUCGCAGAGUCUUCCUUGGUGGUAUCAAAGAAUAAGAAAGAGGAAAUGGGAAUCUUCUGAGUUCUGUGUUUGACUAGCUGAAGACAGGGCUCCAGGCAAACUGCCAGUUGCUUCUCUUGAAGCUUCUUAUAUCCUUUACUUUGAUUGAAAUAAAAAAAAAGAGACUAUGACAUCAAGCAGGAAUGAGAGAAAGUAUGUUUUCCUGAACAUGACCCUGAGGGAACCAGUAAAGAGGAAGAAGAAUUAAAGAAAAAACCAAUGUUAAAAAAAAAGAAGGACAAAGAAACGUUUAAAAAAAGAAUGAGAAUGGAAGAAUUGGGUGGAGUAGAGACGUUCAUAAUGCUUCUGUGAGCGGUCAUUCUUUCAAGAGAAUUGAAUCAGGAGUCACAAGAUUAAGACCGCAGUGGGAUGUUCUGCCUUCAGGAGUGUCCCUGGCACAGCAGAUCUGCAAAUUAUGGCUUUUGUGGUUUUCUUCUUGUUUCUUGCUAAGAAAUAAAUGGAGCCACAAGCACAUCAGUG
RNAcentral lists this long non-coding RNA (849 nucleotides) under Equus asinus (donkey). RNAcentral's name for it is "lncRNA (ENSEASG00005030662.1)". Lineage: Eukaryota; Metazoa; Chordata; Mammalia; Perissodactyla; Equidae. The record is from RNAcentral.